CCAGAGGAAUUCAGAUGUUAGGAGUUAUUUCUAUAGCUGUAUAUUUUCUUCUGGGAACAGCGCAAGGUGAAGAAACAUUGUUACGCAAGAUGUUAAGUUUGGUAUUUCUGAGAGGCUCCUAAAAGGAGCCUUGUAUUUGUAUUAAGAGUGAGGCCUGAUGGUUUGUAGAGUAUAACUGACAGUUGUAUGGACUGCCAUUUUAACCUGGUUUACUGUUUCCUUUGGCGUUGUUGAGUAUGUCAAGCAGGAAUAGAAGAAUGGUUAAACUCUGCAGUAACAUGAACUCGGCCUAGACUCUUUCUAAUGGUAGGUUGUUCAUUAGAUUCAAGUAUUUUCUUAGGUCAAGAAGAGAGAGAACAUGUUAUUUCUGUUUUAGGUUGUCUUUUUUUUUGCUAUUAUUUAUAUCUCCAUAACCUUGCUUAUUUGUAUCUGCUUGAUGCAUCAAAUUCUCAUGCAAAAUUCCCCACUGUGGCUAUGAUUUUUAUAAUGAUUACACCUGUCUUUGUCAGAGCUUUGCUUUAUAUAUUUUGCUGCUGUAGUUUUUGGUGUACAGGAAUUCACUAAUUAUACUUGAAGAUGUCGCAAUUUGCCUCUUUUCCCUGCUUAACAGUCUUGAUCUUGAAUUCUGCUUAUCUGAUUGUGAUUCUGCCAUUUCUGCUUUCUGUUUGCUUACAUUUGCCUGGUGUAAUUUUCCACAUCCUUUAUUUUCAAACUUUCUUUAUCAUUCUGUUUUAGGCGUGUUUCUUGCCUAUGACAUUGGGCAAGGUAUAUCUGUUAGGAUAAUUUGGGUUGCAAAUAAUGUGCACUGGUUUCCAAAAAUAGAGGAGGAUGUAUUUGCUCUUAUAAUGUUGCAGGAUAGGUUUUGUUUUCAAGCAUGGUUUGUUUCAGUUUUGAUGCUUGAUUUCUCUCAGUUCACUCAGUUCUGUGUUCCUUUGUGUGUUAGACUAUUUUCUCUCCUGGGAGCAAAAUGGCCACAGAGGCCCCAGGCCUCCCAUGUGUUUAUACCUCAAAGUCCAGAAAAUGAGAAAACUUCUCUUCUGAAAAUCUUGAAAACUCUUUAAUCACAUGUCAAACCCUAAAAAAAAAAAAAAAUUCACUGUGACCGGUGAUGUGCCAUGCCGCAUUGCGUUUGGGCCUGUAUUACUCAUCUUCGAACCAACCACUUUGGUGGGGAGAUUAAUAUUAUGAUAAAAGGUUCCUUUGGGUGAAUUAAAGCUCAAAGCCUAAAAUUGAAAUUUAAGAUUAAUUCCCAUCCGAGCCAGUGUGCCAGUGUUCAAGAGAACAGAGUAGAUAAGUAUUGUAAAGAAGUUACCACAGUUCUCAUUACUGGAUAACAACGUAAUUCUUUAUCUUCAAAAGGUAAAUGAAUAAACUAACAGAAUGUACCAGAAAAAAAUAAGAAAUAAUAAGUAAGAUUGCUAUUGCAAUAUUAAUGUUGAGAAGUAAAAAAUCAGGAGUUUCCCUAUCACAAAUCAUAACCAAUUAGAAAAUAUAACUGGGAGUUCCAUUGUGGCUCAGUGGAUUAUGAACCCAACUAGUAUCCAUGAAGAUAUGGGUUCAAUCCCUGGCCUCAGUUAAUUGGUUAUAGGAUCUGGCAUUGCUGUGCCUGUAGCUGUGGCUGGCAGCUGCACCUCCAAUUUGACUCCUAGCCUGGGAACGUCCAUAUGCCAUGGGUGUGGCCCUAAAAAGCAAAAAAAAAAAAAAAAAAAAAGAAGAAGAAAAUAUUUCAUAUAUAAAAAGUAUAAAAUGUAUUGGAAUACAUUUAUUAAGAAACAAAGUAUUUAUAUGAAAACAUAUGAACUUUGAGAGAUUUAAGAUAUUUCUAGCUAGGAAAACUCAAUUUUAAUAAGUUGAUUUAAUAAAGAUGUCUGUCCUCUUUAAAAUACUCUCUUUUGGGGAAUUCCUGUUGAGGUGCAGUGGAAAAGAAUCUCACUAGGAACCAUGAGGCUGUGGGUUUAAUCCCUGCCCUCGCUCAGUGGGCUAAGGAUCUGGCAUUGCCUUGAGCUAUGGUGUAGGUCACAGACAUGGCUCGGACCCCGCAUUGCUGUGGCGUAGACCAGCAGCUAUAGCUCCAAUUCAACCCCUUGCUUGGGAACCUCCAUAUGCUGCGGGUGUGGCCCUAAAAAAGCCAAAAAAAAGUGCAUCUGGGGAUUUUCCAGUGUGGCUCAGCAGUGAGGAACCCAAAUAGUAUCUAUGAGGAUGAGGGUUCAAUCCCUGGCCUUGCUCAGUGGGUUAAGGAUCUGGCAAUGCUGUGAGCUGUGGUGAAGGUUGAAGACAUAGCUUGGAUCUUGUGUUGCUGUGACUGCGGUGUAGGCCAGCAGCAGCAGCUCCAAUUUGACUCCUAGCCUGGGAACCUCCAGUUGCCGCAUGUGUGGCCUGAAAAAGAAAAAAAAAACCAGUGCAUCUGAUAAUGCAUAACACAAUAUACUAGCCAGGGAAUUAAAAAUGACAGGAACAAACACUGUAAACCAAGUAUAAU
Molecule: long non-coding RNA, 2479 nt
Filed under: Sus scrofa (pig)
Lineage: Eukaryota; Metazoa; Chordata; Mammalia; Artiodactyla; Suidae
Description: lncRNA (ENSSSCG00005019140.1)
Source: RNAcentral